GUACACUCCUACGGGAGGCAGCAGUGGGGAAUAUUGGACAAUGGGCGCAAGCCUGAUCCAGCCAUGCCGCGUGAGUGAUGAAGGCCCUAGGGUUGUAAAGCUCUUUCACCGGUGAAGAUAAUGACGGUAACCGGAGAAGAAGCCCCGGCUAACUUCGUGCCAGCAGCCGCGGUAAUACGAAGGGGGCUAGCGUUGUUCGGAUUUACUGGGCGUAAAGCGCACGUAGGCGGACUAUUAAGUCAGGGGUGAAAUCCCGGGGCUCAACCCCGGAACUGCCUUUGAUACUGGUAGUCUUGAGUUCGAGAGAGGUGAGUGGAAUUCCGAGUGUAGAGGUGAAAUUCGUAGAUAUUCGGAGGAACACCAGUGGCGAAGGCGGCUCACUGGCUCGAUACUGACGCUGAGGUGCGAAAGCGUGGGGAGCAAACAGGAUUAGAAACCCGUGUAUCCCAUG
This 451-nucleotide ribosomal RNA is filed under the name uncultured organism. Its description in RNAcentral is "partial 16S ribosomal RNA". It matches the Rfam family "Bacterial small subunit ribosomal RNA", at positions 331 to 799 of the family's 1533-position model. The record is from RNAcentral.